UACGGAGGAUGCGAGCGUUAUCCGGAUUUAUUGGGUUUAAAGGGUGCGUAGGCGGAUUUUUAAGUCAGCGGUAAAAUGUCCGGGCUCAACCCGGGCCGGCCGUUGAAACUGGGGAUCUUGAGUGGGCGAGAAGUAUGCGGAAUGCGUGGUGUAGCGGUGAAAUGCAUAGAUAUCACGCAGAACCCCGAUUGCGAAGGCAGCAUGCCGGCUUCCUACUGACGCUGAAGCACGAAAGCGUGGGGAUCGAACAGG
This 252-nucleotide ribosomal RNA is filed under the name uncultured bacterium. Its description in RNAcentral is "partial 16S ribosomal RNA". It matches the Rfam family "Bacterial small subunit ribosomal RNA", at positions 524 to 776 of the family's 1533-position model. The record is from RNAcentral.